RNAcentral lists this ribosomal RNA (253 nucleotides) under uncultured bacterium. RNAcentral describes it as "partial 16S ribosomal RNA". It matches the Rfam family "Bacterial small subunit ribosomal RNA", at positions 524 to 776 of the family's 1533-position model. The record is from RNAcentral.
UACGUAGGGUGCGAGCGUUGUCCGGAAUUAUUGGGCGUAAAGGGCUCGUAGGCGGUCUGUCGCGUCGGCUGUGAAAACCCGGAGCUCAACUCCGGGCCUGCAGUCGAUACGGGCAAACUGGAGUGUUGCAGGGGAGACUGGAAUUCCUGGUGUAGCGGUGAAAUGCGUUGAUAUCGAUAGGAACUCCGGUGGCGAAGGCGGCAUACUGGACCACCACUGACGCUGAUGCGCGAAAGCCAGGGGAGCAAACGGG